This 468-nucleotide ribosomal RNA is filed under the name uncultured bacterium. RNAcentral describes it as "partial 16S ribosomal RNA". It matches the Rfam family "Bacterial small subunit ribosomal RNA", at positions 28 to 507 of the family's 1533-position model. The record is from RNAcentral.
GACGAACGCUGGCGGCGUGCUUAACACAUGCAAGUCGAACGGAAAGGCCCUGCUUGUGUUUUUUGCUCUAGUGUCGAACGGGUGAGUAACACGUGAGUAGCCUGCCCCUUACGGUGGGAUAACUUCAGGAGACGGGGGCUGAUACCGAAUACGAUCUCCAGCUUCAGAGUGGGGGUUGGAAAGUUUCGGCGGGUUGGGAUGGACUCGCGGCGUAUCAGGUUGUUGGUGGGGUAGUGGCUUACCAAGUCUUUGACGGGUAGCCGGCCUGGGAGGGUGACCGGCCAGAUUGGGACUGAGAUACGGCCCAGACUCCUCCGGGAGGCAGCAGUGGGGAAUAUUGCACAAUGGGAGGAAGCCUAAUGCAGCACAGCCGCGUGCGGGAUGACGGCAUUGGGGUUGUAACCCGCUUUCGCCUGUGAUGAAGAGUGAGUGACGGUAAUGGGUAAAGAAGCCCCGGCUAACUACGUG